AUUGAACGCUGGCGGCAUGCCUUACACAUGCAAGUCGAACGGCAGCACGGGAGCAAUCCUGGUGGCGAGUGGCGAACGGGUGAGUAAAGUAUCGGAACGUGCCCAGUCGUGGGGGAUAACGUAGCGAAAGUUACGCCAAUACCGCAUACGAUCUAUGGAUGAAAGCGGGGGAUCGCAAGACCUCGCCCGAUUGGAGCGGCCGAUAUCAGAUUAGGUAGUUGGUGGGGUAAAGGCUCACCAAGCCGACGAUCUGUAGUUGGUCUGAGAGGACGACCAGCCACACUGGGACUGAGACACGGCCCAGACUCCUACGGGAGGCAGCAGUGGGGAAUUUUGGACAAUGGGCGAAAGCCUGAUCCAGCCAUGCCGCGUGCAGGAUGAAGGCCUUCGGGUUGUAAACUGCUUUUGUACGGAACGAAAAGGUUUGGCCUAAUAAGCUGAGCUCAUGACGGUACCGUAAGAAUAAGCACCGGCUAACUACGUGCCAGCCGCCGCCGUAA
RNAcentral lists this ribosomal RNA (500 nucleotides) under uncultured bacterium. RNAcentral's name for it is "partial 16S ribosomal RNA". It matches the Rfam family "Bacterial small subunit ribosomal RNA", at positions 30 to 523 of the family's 1533-position model. The record is from RNAcentral.